UCCCUGAUAGCUCAGUUGGUAAAGAAUCUGCCUGCAACGCAGGAGACCCCGGUUCGAUUCCUGGGUCGGGAA
This is a transfer RNA of Ovis aries (sheep), 72 nucleotides long. It matches the Rfam family "tRNA". From Rfam's summary of the family: Transfer RNA (tRNA) molecules are approximately 80 nucleotides in length. Their secondary structure includes four short double-helical elements and three loops (D, anti-codon, and T loops). The record is from Rfam. Lineage: Eukaryota; Metazoa; Chordata; Mammalia; Artiodactyla; Bovidae.